This 497-nucleotide ribosomal RNA is filed under the name uncultured bacterium. RNAcentral describes it as "partial 16S ribosomal RNA". It matches the Rfam family "Bacterial small subunit ribosomal RNA", at positions 28 to 523 of the family's 1533-position model. The record is from RNAcentral.
GAUGAACGCUAGCGGCAGGCCUAAUACAUGCAAGUCGAGGGGUAGAGAAGAGCUUGCUUUUCUUGAGACCGGCGCACGGGUGCGUAACGCGUAUGCAACCUACCUUUAUCAGGGGGAUAGCCUCUCGAAAGAGAGAUUAACACCGCAUAAAAACACAGUACGGCAUCGUACAAUGUUCAAAUAUUUAUAGGAUAAAGAUGGGCAUGCGUGACAUUAGCUAGUUGGUGAGGUAAGGGCUCACCAAGGCGACGAUGUCUAGGGGAUCUGAGAGGAUGACCCCCCACACUGGUACUGAGACACGGACCAGACUCCUACGGGAGGCAGCAGUAAGGAAUAUUGGUCAAUGGGGGCAACCCUGAACCAGCCAUGCCGCGUGCAGGAAGACGGCCCUACGGGUUGUAAACUGCUUUUAUACGGGAAUAAACCCCUUUACGUGUAAGGGUUGAAUGUACUGUAAGAAUAAGGAUCGGCUAACUCCGUGCCAGCAGCCGCCGUAA